GACGAACGCUGGCGGCGUGCUUAACACAUGCAAGUCGAACGAUGAACCCGGAGCUUGCUCUGGGGGAUUAGUGGCGAACGGGUGAGUAACACGUGAGUAACCUGCCCUGGACUCUGGGAUAAGCGUUGGAAACGACGUCUAAUACCGGAUAGGACCUUGGACCGCAUGAUCUGGGGUGGAAAGUUUUUUCGGUCUGGGAUGGACUCGCGGCCUAUCAGCUUGUUGGUGAGGUAAUGGCUCACCAAGGCGUCGACGGGUAGCCGGCCUGAGAGGGUGACCGGCCACACUGGGACUGAGACACGGCCCAGACUCCUACGGGAGGGAGCAGUGGGGAAUAUUGCACAAUGGGCGAAAGCCUGAUGCAGCAACGCCGCGUGCGGGAUGACGGCCGUCGGGUUGUAAACCGCUUUUAGUAGGGAAGAAGGGCUUCGGCUUGACGGUACCUGCAGAAAAAGGACCGGCUAACUACGUG
This 472-nucleotide ribosomal RNA is filed under the name uncultured bacterium. Its description in RNAcentral is "partial 16S ribosomal RNA". It matches the Rfam family "Bacterial small subunit ribosomal RNA", at positions 28 to 507 of the family's 1533-position model. The record is from RNAcentral.